RNAcentral lists this ribosomal RNA (206 nucleotides) under uncultured bacterium. RNAcentral describes it as "partial 16S ribosomal RNA". It matches the Rfam family "Bacterial small subunit ribosomal RNA", at positions 568 to 774 of the family's 1533-position model. The record is from RNAcentral.
AGCGUAGGCGGAUAGUUUAGUCAGAGGUGAAAGCCCAGGGCUCAACCUUGGAAUUGCCUUUGAUACUGGCUAUCUUGAGUACGGAAGAGGUAUGUGGAACUCCGAGUGUAGAGGUGAAAUUCGUAGAUAUUCGGAAGAACACCAGUGGCGAAGGCGACAUACUGGUCCGUUACUGACGCUGAGGCUCGAAAGCGUGGGAGCAAACA